Non-coding RNA from Gloeopeniophorella convolvens, 80 nucleotides. Lineage: Eukaryota; Fungi; Basidiomycota; Agaricomycetes; Russulales. The record is from the annotation of a GenBank genome assembly.
GGUGCUAUAGUGUAGUGGUUAUCACAGUGGAUUCUGACCAGAGACUCUCGCUAACCCAGGUUCGAUUCCUGGUAGUACCU